ACGGAAGGCAGCAGUGGGGAAUAUUGCACAAUGGGGGGAACCCUGAUGCAGCAACGCCGCGUGAGUGAUGAAGUAUUUCGGUAUGUAAAGCUCUAUCAGCAGGGAAGAAAAUGACGGUACCUGACUAAGAAGCCCCGGCUAACUACGUGCCAGCAGCCGCGGUAAUACGUAGGGGGCAAGCGUUAUCCGGAUUUACUGGGUGUAAAGGGUGCGUAGACGGCUGUGUAAGUCAGAAGUGAAAUCCCAGGGCUCAACCCUGGUGCUGCUUUUGAAACUGUACGGCUAGAGUGCUGGAGGGGCAAGCGGAAUUCCUGGUGUAGCGGUGAAAUGCGUAGAUAUCAGGAGGAACACCGGUGGCGAAGGCGGCUUGCUGGACAGUAACUGACGUUGAGGCACGAAAGCGUGGGGAGCAAACAGGAUUAGAUACCCUGGUA
This 434-nucleotide ribosomal RNA is filed under the name uncultured Lachnospiraceae bacterium. RNAcentral describes it as "partial 16S ribosomal RNA". It matches the Rfam family "Bacterial small subunit ribosomal RNA", at positions 341 to 792 of the family's 1533-position model. Lineage: Bacteria; Bacillati; Bacillota; Clostridia; Lachnospirales; Lachnospiraceae. The record is from RNAcentral.